AGAGUUGAUCUGGCUCAGAUGAACGCGGCGGCAGGCUACACAUCAAGUCGAGCGGUACACAGGAGCUUGUCUGGGUGACGAGCGGCGGACGGGUGAGUAAUGUCUGGGAAACUGCCUGAUGGAGGGGGAUAACUACUGGAAACGGUAGCUAAUACCGCAUAAGUCGCAAGACCAAAGAGGGGGACCUUCGGGCCUCUUGCCAUCAGAUGUGCCCAGAUGGGAUUAGCUAGUAGGUGGGGUAACGGCUCACCUAGGCGACGAUCCCUAGCUGGUCUGAGAGGAUGACCAGCCACACUGGAACUGAGACACGGUCCAGACUCCUACGGGAGGCAGCAGUGGGGAAUAUUGCACAAUGGGCGCAAGCCUGAUGCAGCCAUGCCGCGUGUAUGAAGAAGGCCUUCGGGUUGUAAAGUACUUUCAGCGGGGAGGAAGGUGUUGAGGUUAAUAACCUCAGCAAUUGACGUUACCCGCAGAAGAAGCACCGGCUAACUCCGUGCCAGCAGCCGCGGUAAUACGGAGGGUGCAAGCGUUAAUCGGAAUUACUGGGCGUAAAGCGCACGCAGGCGGUCUGUCAAGUCGGAUGUGAAAUCCCCGGGCUCAACCUGGGAACUGCAUUCGAAACGCAGGCUAGAGUCUUGUAGAGGGGGGUAGAAUUCCAGGUGUAGCGGUGAAAUGCGUAGAGAUCGGAGGAAUACCGGUGGCGAAGGCGGCCCCCGACAAAGACACG
Molecule: ribosomal RNA, 727 nt
Filed under: Enterobacter kobei
Lineage: Bacteria; Pseudomonadati; Pseudomonadota; Gammaproteobacteria; Enterobacterales; Enterobacteriaceae
Description: bacterial SSU rRNA
Rfam family: Bacterial small subunit ribosomal RNA
Source: RNAcentral